GUUUGCUGCUGGGAUUUUGUGAAUCCGUCUCUUAACUUUCCACAUUUAGGGAUUGGCAUUAAUACACAAAUAUGCAAGCCACAAGGCUAUAUAUGUUUUUAAUUCUUUGUUCAAGUAUGUGUUUUGUAGUUGUGUGUUUGAUCCCUGCUUUGGAAAGACUUCAUUUGUUAAGGCAGAUGAACAAAGAUGAUUAAAAAGAGGGGGCUUUUACAAGCACAUUUACCUCAUUCCUGUGACUCAGAUCUUUUCAGCAUACUCGGCUGCUUGAAGGACAGGUUCAUUACCAUUAUCAGAAGACAUUGAUUUCUUUCGCAUCACCGUCAAGAUCUGCCACCAUACUAAUGAACUGAAAGAAUAACUCGAUACUGAGCAAUUUGUGUGAAUACCCUUUCUGAACUCAAUUGACCUCGACUAAUGGGCAGAAAAUAUAGUAACGGCACAAAAUAAUAGUGCCUAAGACUUGUCACCCAGAUAGCCGUUAGUCUUACCUGUCUGUACAAAUAUACACUGUAGCACUUCUCCAUCACGCGGCUCAUCAGUUCAUCCAAAAUCUCCGCUACGGCUUCUUCUCCCUCCUCCCCCGUCACCAUUGUGAGCCACUGGGAUUUGGUGAGACGCCCCGGGACAACGUCGCCUGUGGCAGGACUUGGCGCCGGGACAGGCGCUGGAGAUGCGGAAGCGCGCCCCCUUCUCGUCCGGGACUUUGGUGUGGUUGGAGGCAUUGCUGCUUACAGAAAGGGGCCAUCGCUGAUGAUUAUAGCCUACUCUAAAUCGAACAUACUUCUCUGGUUGUGGUUUUUAAAGAGAUGUUAAAGUUGUAUUAUUGCACUUAAGAGUCUUUUGAAUGUGUGCGCGCGCAAGUGUGUAAAAUAAUUCGCCAGUGGUGUAAACUGGUUAGUGACCUGCAGUGAAGUACAAUUGUGAUAAUUUUCAUGCAAGCUUGUAAAAAGUACGAAGCAAAGGUGCUGCAUUAGCUGCAACGAUAGAAUUGUGUCCUUGCAGCACCUUUGAUUUACACUUUUUAAUCACCCUAAUCAACCCCAUUCCUCAUCCUGGCUUCUCCUCGUCUUGCUCGUGUAGAUUUGUCAGCUACCGAAAAUCUGCUUUCUUGGCUUUGUCUUUUUUUCUCUUAAGGCAUUAUAUAGAAGGGCCUUGGUCUGUAUGGUCUCAUACUAAACUUAGAUCUUCCUUUAAUCUACAUCUCCUGCUGCCCAAUGUAUGCAAACAACCUACAAUAAUAUUUCUUACUACCUCCCGCCGUUAAACGAAUCUUACUUGGAUGCUUGUUCAGCGCAGUUUGUGACAACUUCCUCCGGCAGUAAAUCAAUUUGUCACAUGCACAGCUAAAUACUCAUCGUAACCAUAGGAAUCAAAUUGAACAGCAUUCACUCACCAUAGGUUAAUUACCUCUAAAGUUUGGUGAAAGUCGUGUUAAUGGUUGAGAAGGUGGCACAAGGGCUAACGCUGUUUGACACUUUCACUUUACCGUGACGCAUGGUAACGAGGUUGCCUAGCAAUACCAAACGUUUUGAAACAAUGUGUAGGCUAUUUAUGAUGAGAGAAAUAUUUUACAAAACGUUUAACAAUACAUAUAAAUAUAUAAAUGUGGCUCAUUUUAACCUUAAUUUUUAGACUGUGUCUCUUGAAAGUGUUUAAUUAGUGUUACAGUACAAUGGUUUUAUUUCAAUAAAAUGUCUUGGGUGAUUUCACGCCAUUCGUGGGGACAUAACGCAUUGACGCUGGUUCACGUGCUUUUUGUUUUUAAACCAAAUAUUUGUUACACGCUCACUUUAGCCUGUAUUUAUUUAUUUACUUAUGUUGUUGUUGCUGCUGCUGUUAUUGUUGUCGUUCAGAUUAAGAAUAUAUUUUUUUACCAAAAUCCUCGCAGUUCCAUAACAUUACAAAACAAAACAAAACCAUUUUUGUGCGAUAGGCUGGGCGUCUGUGAGAUCAGUGCAUUUCACAUUUUCACCGGUAGAUGGAAUACCCUGUUCCUAUGAAGUUGCAGCCACUUGAUUAAAAACCUGCUAAGG
This is a long non-coding RNA of Anguilla rostrata (American eel), 2033 nucleotides long. RefSeq lists it as uncharacterized. Lineage: Eukaryota; Metazoa; Chordata; Actinopteri; Anguilliformes; Anguillidae. The transcript has 2 exons. The record is from RefSeq and is a predicted model, not a curated record.